UUUAAAAUCGCGCGGAGAUUGUAGAAUGCUAUUUUAAGAAGUCUAUUAAAGAGAGAAAAUCCAGUAAAUACCAGAUCCAAAAAGCGCGGAACACAAAUAUCGUCCGCGAAAAUUAAGCAUUGAAUUACUGUACAAAUCUCGGGUUGUUAGGUGUUAGAAUCCCUAGUUACCCGAAAAAUUUGAUUGGAUCCGAUACUUAGAAAUAACCAAUCAGAUACUUUGUAACAAAUGCAACACAAUCAGUGCGUUCAGUAAGUAUAACGUUUCAAGAUGGCGGAGCGAAUUGCAUGGUUAUUGUUUCUACUCGAUGGAUUCGCAGAUAAUUCGGAAAUAGAUCAGAUUGGGAUCAAUAACUGUAUUGCAUACGAUCAUUUACAUGUAUUACCAGGUGUGUGUUGCCAGUAAUGGUUGAAGAUAUGCCAAACAAAUUGUGCCUCUCUAUACAGACAGAUUUCAGGUCUCAAUUUCGACUUCAAAGGUCAACAUAUCACUGAUAUCAGGAAUUCUGUACAACUGUGGAACCAUGUAUGGUACGUGACCGCACAAUGUUGGUUGGCAAAAGGAUAUAGGAAUAAGCAAAGGGACUCAACAUUACACAGUCAUUUCAACAUGUAGAGUCUUGUCAGCAAUGAUGGAGCAGUACUUCAGAUUUCCAGAAUCUCGUCAUGAGCUGAAGAUCAUUGCCUAUGAAUUUCCUGAAUGAUGUAGAAUGAUUGGACUGUUGAUGGAACCCACAGUGCAUGUCCUGCUUCAACAUCUGAGCAUAGGUCCUUGUUUAUCAGCAGUUUAGUUCUUCAAGCAGUCUGUGACAGUUACUUGAAAUGUUUGGACAUAUGACCUGGAUGGCCAAGUUCUGUGCAUGAUGCCCAUUUAAAUAGGAACGGCCCAGUGGCGCAUUAAAUGGACAUUUUUCGAAUGUUCUCGAGGAUUCAGCUUACCGCCUGACAAGAAAUCUUGCUUUUUGUUCAGUAUCGAGGCCAUGGACAUUUGUAUCAUUUGCAAAAGAUACUGCGAUAUUUGUGCCUUUGUUCAUGCUUUAUAGUUGAUUAACAAUUGGAAGCCAUAACCUGUUUUUAAGAUGGUGUUAGUGGGACAAUGAAUUUUGUAAAGAUUUAAAGACUGGAAAAGAUAAUUAAAAGUCAAAAGAGUUCUGCUAUUGUUAAGCAUGCUUUAUUGAUUUGUAAUGUUAGAAAGAUAGCAUUAUUAACAGAAUAAAAUGUCCAUAAUUUGAA
Dreissena polymorpha is the source of this 1232-nucleotide long non-coding RNA. RefSeq lists it as uncharacterized. The record is from RefSeq and is a predicted model, not a curated record. The transcript has 4 exons. NCBI's taxonomy places the organism in Eukaryota, Metazoa, Mollusca, Bivalvia, Myida, Dreissenidae.